Microcebus murinus (gray mouse lemur) is the source of this 1340-nucleotide non-coding RNA. The record is from RefSeq and is a predicted model, not a curated record. NCBI's taxonomy places the organism in Eukaryota, Metazoa, Chordata, Mammalia, Primates, Cheirogaleidae.
UGGUGGCGGCGGCGGCCAUUUUUUAGCACAAGCGUGAGGCGGGCAUAGCUAUUUUGGCACAUGUGCUCUGGUCGUGGUGGCCAUUUUCACUCAUUCAGGGUGGCAGCCGCCAUUUUCGCAUUUCCAAGGCUGCACGGGGCUUUCUCACCGGGGGCAGCGACGCCCCGCGUCGUGCACACGCUGCGGUCCCGCCCCUCCUGCCGGCACGCAGGGCAGUGGAGCCCCAUCUCUCGCGUGCGCGGUGGUACCGCUGUCAAGCGCCACACCGCAGUGGCGCCCCGCCUCACGCAGGCACGCGUCGACCCCAGGCAGUUCCACACAGCUCGGGCGUGCCUGCCUGUCUUACUAAGGCGCCGCAGCCCCGCCUCCUGCCUCACGUAUUAGGGCAAAGACCAGCAGCAGAAUCGAGUUGCUGGUUUCUCAAGGGACACCUCUGAGUCACAACAGCAAGACCAGUGACUGUCUCAAGGAUGAAGCUGGGGUUCGCUCACCUUCCUCAGAGGAAUCCAUCACACAGAAUGAAAGGCAGUUUUGCAGGUUCCUGCUGAUGUGUGUUGGAGAGAGAAGCCUCAGGCAGGUGCUGAGGAGGCGGGACCGGGCAGCUCGAGGAGACAGACGUUUCUCGUCCCGGAGGCCCUGGCGCGUGCCGUGCACUUCCUGGCUCUGAACAGGACGUGAAGGGACACAGGGGCGGCUCUCACUGUCUGCUUCCCACUUCCUUUGUUUUGUGCCCACCGGGGAACACUUCUCAACUCGCAACCUCCUGGAAAGGACAGCAGGUUAGGGUGGCCUGUCUGCUGGAGGACCCCCGUGAGAGCCCGUGGCAAGCUUUUCCCUGUCUUUUCAAACUCCACAAUCAUUUUAAGAUUGGAUCACUCUAGAGGCACCAAAGUCAAACUUAUUGCAACUCAGCUGUUACUAGAUGUUCACAGAAUAAGAGAGAAAAACAGCAGAAAUAAAAGCUAGUAUGUUAAUGUGAGCAAACAGACUCACUUUGAUAGGAAAAGUUACGGCUCCGGUUAUAUCAUCACUGAAACUCUUAAAACAUAAAUAAAUGCACUAAGUCUCCUUGCGUGGAUCAAGGUAUGAGAUCAUCUAUUUUUGCUUCCUGUUUCUUGUUCACAGUUAGAGGGAUAUCAUCAUCAUCAUCAUCAUCAUCAGUUUGGAAUUAUCUGAAUAGCCGACCGAGAGAGACCUCGGGGAGCAUUUACAUAUCCAAUUACAACAGGGUGAAUCUUCAUCCCGUGAAAACUGCCUUGCACAUAAAAACGCCUGACCUCGCUGAAAGUUCUUAGUAAUAAAGCUCCACACUGGCAUGGUGCUCUUAAUGUUUCAAAAGA